UACGUAGGGUGCGAGCGUUAAUCGGAAUUACUGGGCGUAAAGAGUGCGUAGGCGGUUCGCUGUGUCCGAUGUGAAAGCCCCGGGCUCAACCUGGGAAUGGCAUGGGAAACUGGCGAGCUUGAGUGUGGCAGAGGGGGGUGGAAUUCCGCGUGUAGCAGUGAAAGGCGUAGAGAUGCGGAGGAACACCGAUGGCGAAGGCAGCCCCCUGGGCCAACACUGACGCUCAGGCACGAAAGCGUGGGGAGCAAACAGG
RNAcentral lists this ribosomal RNA (253 nucleotides) under uncultured bacterium. RNAcentral's name for it is "partial 16S ribosomal RNA". It matches the Rfam family "Bacterial small subunit ribosomal RNA", at positions 524 to 776 of the family's 1533-position model. The record is from RNAcentral.